AACAACUUGCAAAAUCAUUAGAUUUAAAUGAGCUUUUACCGACGCAACAUUUCCUCAAGUGAAUACUGCCUCUGCUUGUGUGUGAAUGGGCUUUCUUUUAAAUCUAAUAUCCUACGUGCUUUUUCAAUAAUUGAAUCAGCUGCACUGUCUUACAGUCAUCGACUAAAACUAUAAAAGAAUCGCCUUAGAAAGUUGUAGGUACUCCAUCAUCAAGCUAUGAAUUCGUUCCAAAAAUUACGUCAGGCGUUGAAAACUAAGAAGCAGGAAACCGCAGAUGAGUGCAAUGUCUUCAAAAAUCCAAAACCUUCUUUCAAGACAGCACCUUCCUUGUUAAGGAACCCUUUUAAGAAAGGCAGCAAAAAGAAUUCGAAGCAUCAACCUCUUCCGGAAAUGCCAAAUGAGGAAGAGACACGCUUCAAGACAAGUUCCAUUCAAUCUUCGGUCGAAGACAUUUUUGCUGAAAGCAACUUGAUUGAUUUUGAUACCGAAGAUCCAAUAUCGUUAAUGAUUAUUCCGCAUCGGCAAUGUAACUAUUAUUUUCAAAUUCUUUCUUUCUUUUCUUUUUUUUU
Molecule: long non-coding RNA, 569 nt
Organism: Daphnia carinata
Lineage: Eukaryota; Metazoa; Arthropoda; Branchiopoda; Diplostraca; Daphniidae
Exons: 3
Source: RefSeq, a predicted model, not a curated record